ACUAUGGCAUGGACCCUCAUCCUCGAGCCCCACUACUCAGAGGAGCUGGGAAGAAUUUCCACCCUUCCUAGUGGCAAGUCUCACUGUGAGAGCGGAGUGCCACCAGGCAAACAGGGCAGAAAGACUGCUUUAAGGAGAAUCCUUAUAUUGGGGGUUAUGAAGUGCAAUACACCCUCAUCCUCACGCUAACACUGGUACCAUGUAGCCCAAGCUUGUCUAACCUGCAGCCCGCGGGCUGUGUAUGGCCCAGGACAGCUCUGAAUGUGGCCCAACGCAAAUUUGUAAACUUUCUAAAACAUUAUGAGAUUUUUUUUUCUCAUCAGCUAUCAUCAGUGUGAGUGUAUGUUAUUUGUGACUCAAGACAAUCCUUCUUUUCCAAUGUGGCCCAGAGAAGCCAAAAGACUGGACACCCCUGAUGUGGCCCUUUCAUCCAUAGUAGCCUAUUUUGUCCUAAAGACGGUCUUGUGCAGUGAGUAGGCCAGGCCUCCCCACUACCACAGUUUACAGGCAAGGAAUGUGAUAUUUCAUAGGAUGACCCUGACUGGCACCUACAUUGCUAGCCAAAGAAUGGCACAAAGAUGUGGACAGAAGAGACAACCUUAAGCAGCUGACUGCUGGCUCCUGCAACAGUAUCAUCAUGGCAUUUGUCCUGGGGUCCCAAGGAAAGAAAACAAAUCUGUGGCUGAGGAACAGACUGAGUUGACAAAGCAGCUUCCACAGUAACACAAGGACAAAGGGUGUAUGUAGAUAUGCACGUGGUAGCAGGUUCUACUAAAGGAACCUGGACCGACCAUUCUCACUCACAUUCUUUGGGAGCUGUAUUCUAAUACUUUCAGAAAAGCCAUGGGAACACACCAGAGUGACUGCUCGAGUAAAUAAGUAGCAUAAACAGCAAGCCAAACCAUUGAUGUACACAUCACUGGGCCCAAUACUAUGAAAUCCCACAUAAGAAACUUGAAAGUGAAAGCUGGAAUUCUGAGGAUACUGGUUUUGCUUAAUAAACAGCAUUUCAACAGGUGAGUCAA
RNAcentral lists this long non-coding RNA (1025 nucleotides) under Homo sapiens (human). RNAcentral describes it as "long independently transcribed non-coding RNA 1890, transcript variant 5 (LINC01890)". The record is from RNAcentral. Lineage: Eukaryota; Metazoa; Chordata; Mammalia; Primates; Hominidae.